Molecule: ribosomal RNA, 561 nt
Filed under: uncultured bacterium
Lineage: Bacteria
Description: bacterial SSU rRNA
Rfam family: Bacterial small subunit ribosomal RNA
Source: RNAcentral
CCUACGGGAGGCAGCAGUGGGGAAUAUUGGACAAUGGGCGAAAGCCUGAUCCAGCAAUGCCGCGUGAGUGAUGAAGGCCUUAGGGUUGUAAAGCUCUUUUACCAGGGAUGAUAAUGACAGUACCUGGAGAAUAAGCUCCGGCUAACUCCGUGCCAGCAGCCGCGGUAAUACGGAGGGAGCUAGCGUUGUUCGGAAUUACUGGGCGUAAAGCGUGCGUAGGCGGUUAUUCAAGUCAGAGGUGAAAGCCCGGGGCUCAACCCCGGAACGGCCUUUGAAACUAGAUAGCUAGAAUCUUGGAGAGGUUAGUGGAAUUCCGAGUGUAGAGGUGAAAUUCGUAGAUAUUCGGAAGAACACCAGUGGCGAAGGCGACUAACUGGACAAGCAUUGACGCUGAGGCACGAAAGCGUGGGGAGCAAACAGGAUUAGAUACCCUGGUAGUCCACGCCGUAAACGAUGAUAACUAGCUGUUCGGGCACUUGGUGCCUGAGUGGCGCAGCUAACGCAUUAAGUUAUCCGCCUGGGGAGUACGGUCGCAAGNUUAAAACUCAAAGGAAUUGACGG